CAGUAGCCGCGGUAAUACGUAGGGUGCGAGCGUUAAUCGGAAUUACUGGGCGUAAAGCGUGCGCAGGCGGUUAUGCAAGACAGAUGUGAAAUCCCCGGGCUUAACCUGGGGACUGCAUUUGUGACUGCAUGGCUAGAGUGCGGCAGAGGGGGAUGGAAUUCCGCGUGUAGCAGUGAAAUGCGUAGAUAUGCGGAGGAACACCGAUGGCGAAGGCAAUCCCCUGGGCCUGUACUGACGCUCAUGCACGAAAGCGUGGGGAGCAAACAGGAUUAGAUACCCGAGUAGUCCCUGUCUCUUAUAC
RNAcentral lists this ribosomal RNA (301 nucleotides) under uncultured bacterium. RNAcentral's name for it is "partial 16S ribosomal RNA". It matches the Rfam family "Bacterial small subunit ribosomal RNA", at positions 509 to 807 of the family's 1533-position model. The record is from RNAcentral.